CUUAAUGACUUCGCCAGUGCUUUUCUCGUCUACUUUGGCUCCUUUUAUGCGUUCAAUCUUGAAUAUCAAGAGUCAGCAUCUACUACACUGGAGUUGGUACAGAGGAUCAACCCAGAUGAGGGCACCAAGUGCAUGGCCAAAGUGGGUACAAGCUGCAAGACGGGAGGAGUUGUCCAAUGAAAGGUGACAAGCAUCAGCUCCCAAGUCACCACCUUCCUCCAACGGCUCACCAAGUUUGAGUGGAAGACAUCAAACUAGUCCAGGACGGACCACCCCAGCAGAUGUGGAUCAGCAAGCAGGAGUACCAUGGGUCCGGCCUCUUCAUCGUACUUCACAAAUGCUUCUAAACAGACUGUUCCUCCUUCCCCUCCCCAACCAAAUGCCCAACAACUUCAUCUAUGUGGUAAACAACCACACCACAUUUUUCAUACAUACUCAGAAUAAAAAAAAAUUAAAAAAAAACAACUGCCAAGAUAAAGGAUGAACUGAUGUUUUGGCUAGGUUAUUCAGUGUUCUGCAGUUCCAUCUGGGGAUUUAAAA
This is a long non-coding RNA of Sander lucioperca (pikeperch), 540 nucleotides long. RefSeq lists it as uncharacterized. The record is from RefSeq and is a predicted model, not a curated record. The transcript has 3 exons. NCBI's taxonomy places the organism in Eukaryota, Metazoa, Chordata, Actinopteri, Perciformes, Percidae.